UGGCGAUAAGCAUGCAAGUCGAGCGGGCUUAUUCGGGCAACUGGAUAAGUUAGCGGCGAACUGGUGAGUAACACGUAGGUAAUCUGCCGUGAAGUGGGGGAUAACCCAUAGAAACAUGGACUAAUACCGCAUAUACUCUUGCUACAUAAGUAGAGUAGAGGAAAGUUUUUUCGCUUCACGAUGAGCCUGCGGCCUAUUAGCCUGUUGGUAGGGUAAUGGCCUACCAAAGCUACGAUAGGUAGCCGACCUGAGAGGGUGACCGGCCACAUUGGGACUGAGAUACGGCCCAGACUCCUACGGGAGGCAGCAGCUGAGAAUCUUCCACAAUGGACGAAAGUCUGAUGGAGCGACAUCGCGUGAGGGAUGAAGGCCUUCGGGUUGUAGGAAAUUAUCGAAGAAUGAACAGUAUAAUAGCCUGGCUAAUUCGCCCG
This 431-nucleotide ribosomal RNA is filed under the name Brachyspira pilosicoli. Its description in RNAcentral is "bacterial SSU rRNA". It matches the Rfam family "Bacterial small subunit ribosomal RNA", at positions 45 to 480 of the family's 1533-position model. Lineage: Bacteria; Pseudomonadati; Spirochaetota; Spirochaetia; Brachyspirales; Brachyspiraceae. The record is from RNAcentral.